CUCAGAUGAACGCUAGCUACAGGCUUAACACAUGCAAGUCGAGGGGCAGCAUGGUCUUAGCUUGCUAAGGCCGAUGGCGACCGGCGCACGGGUGAGUAACACGUAUCCAACCUGCCGUCUACUCUUGGACAGCCUUCUGAAAGGAAGAUUAAUACAAGAUGGCAUCAUGAGUCCGCAUGUUCACAUGAUUAAAGGUAUUCCGGUAGACGAUGGGGAUGCGUUCCAUUAGAUAGUAGGCGGGGUAACGGCCCACCUAGUCUUCGAUGGAUAGGGGUUCUGAGAGGAAGGUCCCCCACAUUGGAACUGAGACACGGUCCAAACUCCUACGGGAGGCAGCAGUGAGGAAUAUUGGUCAAUGGGCGAGAGCCUGAACCAGCCAAGUAGCGUGAAGGAUGACUGCCCUAUGGGUUGUAAACUUCUUUUAUAAAGGAAUAAAGUCGGGUAUGGAUACCCGUUUGCAUGUACUUUAUGAAUAAGGAUCGGCUAACUCCGUGCCAGCAGCCGCGGUAAUACGGAGGAUCCGAGCGUUAUCCGGAUUUAUUGGGUUUAAAGGGAGCGUAGAUGGAUGUUUAAGUCAGUUGUGAAAGUUUGCGGCUCAACCGUAAAAUUGCAGUUGAUACUGGAUAUCUUGAGUGCAGUUGAGGCAGGCGGAAUUCGUGGUGUAGCGGUGAAAUGCUUAGAUAUCACGAAGAACUCCGAUUGCGAAGGCAGCCUGCUAAGCUGCAACUGACAUUGAGGCUCGAAAAGUGUGGGUAUCAACAGGAUAGAU
RNAcentral lists this ribosomal RNA (769 nucleotides) under Bacteroides sp. baku-26. Its description in RNAcentral is "bacterial SSU rRNA". It matches the Rfam family "Bacterial small subunit ribosomal RNA", at positions 23 to 783 of the family's 1533-position model. Lineage: Bacteria; Pseudomonadati; Bacteroidota; Bacteroidia; Bacteroidales; Bacteroidaceae. The record is from RNAcentral.